CUUUUCCAGCUAUUGUUUCUUGGCACACAUAGACCUCUGCCCCAAACACGCAGGUAUCAUCAACCAGAUACCCGUUGGCCGCAUCCUUGAAGGCAUCAAGAGUUGGAUACCUUACCUUGAAGAGUAUAGUAGGUGUCAUUGUUCUGAUCAAGUAGAAAGAGACGAAAAAGUGCUCGGAUCUCCCAAGCUGGGGCGGGGAGAAGAACGAGCUUCCUGCACACAGAGUAAACGAACGUAUAUAGAUGAUGAUGGGAUUUGGAGUUAUAGUUGGGUGAGAAACUACCAUUUGCAGCCGCCGGCUUGGAAAUCGUUGGAGGUGUAGCUCUCUAGCUU
This is a long non-coding RNA of Salvia splendens (bonfire salvia), 333 nucleotides long. RefSeq lists it as uncharacterized. Lineage: Eukaryota; Viridiplantae; Streptophyta; Magnoliopsida; Lamiales; Lamiaceae. The record is from RefSeq and is a predicted model, not a curated record. The transcript is spliced from 3 exons.